Molecule: small RNA, 530 nt
Filed under: Rattus norvegicus (Norway rat)
Lineage: Eukaryota; Metazoa; Chordata; Mammalia; Rodentia; Muridae
Description: uncharacterized LOC102549899
Source: RNAcentral
AAGAAAGAAAGAAAGAAAGAAAGAAAAACACUGAGCAAGCCAAGAGAGCAGCUUGUAAGCAGUGGCCCUCCAUGGCCCCUGCUGCAGUUCCUGCCCCGAGUUCCCGCAGUGACGACUGUGAAGCCUAACAGGAAACAUCCUUUCUUCCCAAGCUGCUUUCGGUUGUCACUACAAAGAAAAGCAGACUACAUUUAUUGAAGCAAGUUGUAAAAGGUAGAAAGCCUCUUCGGGAUCCUGAAUAACUGGGUCCCCGCUGGCGGGGACAAGUGGCGCCCGAACAGGGACCCCAAAGCAAGGCUGACUACAGGACGACGGAGAUAAGAGAGCUGCAGCGGGAAUCGAGGACUCUUCAGGCCGUAUCGCUCGUAUCGCUCGUGCGUCGCUGAAGAAGGAGAGCAAUGAAGCUCUACUGGAUUCUACUGAAACUUCUCUUUCCAACUGUGCUGACAUCCGGAACAUCAAGCCCCUAUCAGAUUUGGAAUUACACCUGGAAAUUCUGUUUCAGUACAUUAUCAUCGCUUGGAGACCGG